CAGCAGCCGCGGGAAUACCAGCAGCCCAAGUGGUGGUCGCGCUUAUUGGGCCUAAAGCGCUCGUAGCCUGGCCGGUAAGUUCCCCGUGAAAUCGGGUCGCCCAACGAUUCGGCUUGCGGGGAAUACUGUCGGUCUUGGGGCCGGGAGACGCCGAGGGUACUCCGGGGGUAGCGGUGAAAUGCUGUAAUCCUCGGGGGACUACCAGUGGCGAAGGCGCUCGGCGAUAACGGGCCUGACGGUGAGGGGCGAAAGCUGGGGGCGCGAACGGGAUUAGAUACCCCUGUAGUCCCUGUCUCUUAUA
Molecule: ribosomal RNA, 301 nt
Filed under: uncultured bacterium
Lineage: Bacteria
Description: partial 16S ribosomal RNA
Rfam family: Archaeal small subunit ribosomal RNA
Source: RNAcentral